GACGAACGCUGGCGGCGUGCUUAACACAUGCAAGUCGAACGGAAAGGCCUGCUUUCCCUUGUGGAUUGCGGGUACUCGAGUGGCGAACGGGUGAGUAACACGUGAGUGAUCUGCCCCCAACUUGGGUAUAAGCCUGGGAAACUGGGUCUAAUUCCCGAUAGGCCUGCAGGGUGGUGCCUUUGGUGGAAAACGAUUUUCUAGUGGUUGGGGAUGAGCUCGCGGCCUAUCAGCUUGUUGGUGGGGUAAUGGCCUACCAAGGCGGCGACGGGUAGCCGGCCUGGGAGGGUGGACAGCCACAUUGGGACUGAGAUACGGCCCAGACUCCUACGGGAGGCAGCAGUGGGGAAUAUUGCACAAUGGGCGGAAGCCUGAUGCAGCGACGCCGCGUGGGGGAUGACGGCCUUCGGGUUGUAAACUCCUUUCGACCGCGAGGAAGCCACCUGGUUGGAAGGGUGGUGACGGUAGUGGUAGAAGAAGCACCGGCUAACUACGUG
Molecule: ribosomal RNA, 494 nt
Filed under: uncultured bacterium
Lineage: Bacteria
Description: partial 16S ribosomal RNA
Rfam family: Bacterial small subunit ribosomal RNA
Source: RNAcentral